GGUUCGAUUCCUGGUCUGAUUGAACGCUGGCGGAUAAGUUUUUACACGCUGCGUCGAACGGCAGCACGGACUUCAUCUGGUGGCGAGUGGCGGAAUGGGUGAGUAAUAUCGAACGCCAGUAGCGGGGAUAACUACGCGAAAGCAGCUAAUAUCGCAUACGCCUCCUCGGGGAAAGCGGGGGACCUUCGGGCCUCGCACUAUUAGAGCGGCCGACACGGAUUAGCUAGGCCAGGGGGUAACGGCUCACCAUGACUUGGAUCCCAGCUGGUUUGAGAGGACGACCAGCCACACUGGGACUGAGACACGGCCCAGACUCCUACGGGAGGCAGCAGUGGGGAAUUUUGGAUUAAUGGGGAAACCCGUGAUUCAGCCAUCCCCGCGUGUGCGAUGAAGGCCUGCUGUAAAACACUUUUGGCAGGAGAAACCAGCAACGGAUACACCCGCAACUGACGGCAGUGUACCUAUGAAUAAGCACCGGCUAACUACGCCAGCAGGCCAGUAAUACGGUGGGUGCGUUGUUAAUUUGCACCAUUGGCAAGCGGCAGGCGUCUGAAAGAAAAGGAUGGAAAUCCUAGAGUCAAUUUGAAUCAGAUGCGAAUCAUUUCGAGCGGAGUGGGUGUCAGAGGGAGGUGGAAUUCCGGCGUGUAGCAGUGAAAUGCGUAGAUAUGCGGAGGAACAUCUGAUGCGGCGAAGGCAGCCUGGGACAACACUGACGUCAUGCACGAAAGCGGGCAAAUAUGAUUAGAUACCCUGGUAGCCCAUUCAAAUGAUGUCAACUAGCUGUUGGGGCCUUCGGGCCUUGGUAGCGCAGCUGAUCGCGAAGUUGACCGCUCAGAGUACGGUCGCAAGAUUAAAACUCAAAGAAUCGAUGGGACCGCACGCGGUGAUGAUGUGGACGACCCGAUGUAACGCGAAAAACUUUACCUAAAUUUCUGACAUGCCUGGAAUCCCGGAAGAUUUGGGAGUGCUCGCGUAUUAGGAACCGGAACACAGGUGCUGUAUGGCUGCCGUCAGUCGCCGCAGAUGUGCCGGGUUAAGUCCCGGGCAACGAGCGCAACCCUUGUCAUUAGUUGCUAAUGAAAGGCGACACUCUAGACGAGACCGUUGCGACAAACCGGAGGAAGGUGGGGAUGACGUCAAGUCCUCAUGGCCUUAUGGGUAGGCCGCACACGUCACAAUGGUCGGGCAGAGGGUCGCCAACCCGCGAGGGUUAAUCCAGAAACCGAUCGUAGUCCGGAUCGCAGUCUGCAACCGACCAGGAAGUCGAACGCCAGUAAUCGCGGAUCAGCAUGUCGCGGUAUAGUUGCCCGGGUCUUGUACACACCGCCCGGGUCACCAUGGGCGGGUUUUACCGAAGUGAACAGCCUAACCUGUGCGGAGGGCGAUUACCACGGUAGGAUUCAUGACUAAAGGCGCCAGACAGGGUGACC
RNAcentral lists this ribosomal RNA (1430 nucleotides) under uncultured Bordetella sp. RNAcentral's name for it is "partial 16S-23S ribosomal RNA intergenic spacer". It matches the Rfam family "Bacterial small subunit ribosomal RNA". Lineage: Bacteria; Pseudomonadati; Pseudomonadota; Betaproteobacteria; Burkholderiales; Alcaligenaceae. The record is from RNAcentral.